This 594-nucleotide ribosomal RNA is filed under the name Salmonella enterica. RNAcentral describes it as "partial 23S ribosomal RNA". It matches the Rfam family "Bacterial large subunit ribosomal RNA", at positions 962 to 1475 of the family's 2925-position model. Lineage: Bacteria; Pseudomonadati; Pseudomonadota; Gammaproteobacteria; Enterobacterales; Enterobacteriaceae. The record is from RNAcentral.
CCGGAGAAUGUUAUCACGGGAGACACACGGCGGGUGCUAACGUCCGUCGUGAAGAGGGAAACAACCCAGACCGCCAGCUAAGGUCCCAAAGUCAUGGUUAAGUGGGAAACGAUGUGGGAAGGCCCAGACAGCCAGGAUGUUGGCUUAGAAGCAGCCAUCAUUUAAAGAAAGCGUAAUAGCUCACUGGUCGAGUCGGCCUGCGCGGAAGAUGUAACGGGGCUAAACCAUGCACCGAAGCUGCGGCAGCGAACGUAUCACCCAAGACAACUUUACGGAGUUAACGAUUGACGGAGCGAAGCGACGUCAAAGCGUUCAUUAAAGUCGAGUUGGCUUAGGGAUACGUUCGUUGGGUAGGGGAGCGUUCUGUAAGCCUGUGAAGGUGGCCUGUGAGGGUUGCUGGAGGUAUCAGAAGUGCGAAUGCUGACAUAAGUAACGAUAAAGCGGGUGAAAAGCCCGCUCGCCGGAAGACCAAGGGUUCCUGUCCAACGUUAAUCGGGGCAGGGUGAGUCGACCCCUAAGGCGAGGCCGAAAGGCGUAGUCGAUGGGAAACGGGUUAAUAUUCCCGUACUUGGUGUUACUGCGAAGGGGGGACGG